Molecule: ribosomal RNA, 2912 nt
Filed under: Vibrio campbellii
Lineage: Bacteria; Pseudomonadati; Pseudomonadota; Gammaproteobacteria; Vibrionales; Vibrionaceae
Description: 23S ribosomal RNA
Rfam family: Bacterial large subunit ribosomal RNA
Source: RNAcentral
GUUGUAUGGUUAAGUAACUAAGCGUACACGGUGGAUGCCUUGGCAGUCAGAGGCGAUGAAGGACGUAUUAACUUGCGAUAAGCCCAGAUUAGGUAGUAAAAACCAUUUGAGUCUGGGAUUUCCGAAUGGGGAAACCCACUAGCAUAAGCUAGUAUCGCUGCGUGAAUACAUAGCGCAGCGAGGCGAACCGGGGGAACUGAAACAUCUAAGUACCCCGAGGAAAAGAAAUCAACCGAGAUUCCGAAAGUAGCGGCGAGCGAAAUUGGACUAGCCCUUAAGCUUUUUAUGCGUCAGGUGAAACUUCUGGAAAGUUGUGCGAUACAGGGUGAUAGCCCCGUAACCGGCAACGCAUAUAAAGUGAAAUCGAGUAGGGCGGGACACGUGAUAUCCUGUCUGAAUAUGGGGGGACCAUCCUCCAAGGCUAAAUACUACUGACUGACCGAUAGUGAACCAGUACCGUGAGGGAAAGGCGAAAAGAACCCCUGUGAGGGGAGUGAAAUAGAACCUGAAACCGUGUACGUACAAGCAGUAGGAGCACCUUCGUGGUGUGACUGCGUACCUUUUGUAUAAUGGGUCAGCGACUUAUAUUCAGUGGCAAGGUUAACCAUCUAGGGGAGCCGUAGGGAAACCGAGUCUUAACUGGGCGUUCAGUCUCUGGAUAUAGACCCGAAACCAGGUGAUCUAGCCAUGGGCAGGUUGAAGGUUGAGUAACAUCAACUGGAGGACCGAACCGACUAAUGUUGAAAAAUUAGCGGAUGACUUGUGGCUAGGGGUGAAAGGCCAAUCAAACCUGGAGAUAGCUGGUUCUCCCCGAAAGCUAUUUAGGUAGCGCCUCGGACGAAUACUACUGGGGGUAGAGCACUGUUAAGGCUAGGGGGUCAUCCCGACUUACCAACCCUUUGCAAACUCCGAAUACCAGUAAGUACUAUCCGGGAGACACACGGCGGGUGCUAACGUCCGUCGUGGAGAGGGAAACAACCCAGACCGCCAGCUAAGGUCCCAAAUUACUACUAAGUGGGAAACGAUGUGGGAAGGCUCAGACAGCCAGGAUGUUGGCUUAGAAGCAGCCAUCAUUUAAAGAAAGCGUAAUAGCUCACUGGUCGAGUCGGCCUGCGCGGAAGAUGUAACGGGGCUAAGUAGUAAACCGAAGCUGCGGCAAUGCACUUUGUGCAUUGGGUAGGGGAGCGUUCUGUAAGCGGUUGAAGGUGUGUGGUAACGCAUGCUGGACGUAUCAGAAGUGCGAAUGCUGACAUGAGUAACGAUAAAGGGGGUGAAAAACCUCCUCGCCGGAAGACCAAGGGUUCCUGUCCAACGUUAAUCGGGGCAGGGUAAGUCGACCCCUAAGGCGAGGCCGAAAGGCGUAGUCGAUGGGAAACGGGUUAAUAUUCCCGUACUUCUUACAAUUGCGAUGGGGGACGGAGAAGGCUAGGUGGGCCUGGCGACGGUUGUCCAGGUUCAAGUGCGUAGGCUGAGAAAUUAGGUAAAUCCGGUUUCUCUUAAGGCUGAGACACGACGUCGAGCUACUACGGUAGUGAAGUCAUUGAUGCCAUGCUUCCAGGAAAAGCCUCUAAGCUUCAGAUUGUAAGGAAUCGUACCCCAAACCGACACAGGUGGUCGGGUAGAGAAUACCAAGGCGCUUGAGAGAACUCGGGUGAAGGAACUAGGCAAAAUGGUACCGUAACUUCGGGAGAAGGUACGCUCUCGACGGUGAAGUCCCUCGCGGAUGGAGCUAUUGAGAGUCGCAGAUACCAGGUGGCUGCAACUGUUUAUUAAAAACACAGCACUGUGCAAAAUCGUAAGAUGACGUAUACGGUGUGACGCCUGCCCGGUGCCGGAAGGUUAAUUGAUGGGGUUAGACUUCGGUCGAAGCUCUUGAUCGAAGCCCCGGUAAACGGCGGCCGUAACUAUAACGGUCCUAAGGUAGCGAAAUUCCUUGUCGGGUAAGUUCCGACCUGCACGAAUGGCGUAAUGAUGGCCACGCUGUCUCCACCCGAGACUCAGUGAAAUUGAAAUCGCUGUGAAGAUGCAGUGUACCCGCGGCUAGACGGAAAGACCCCGUGAACCUUUACUACAGCUUGGCACUGAACAUUGACCCUACAUGUGUAGGAUAGGUGGGAGGCUUUGAAACUAGUACGCCAGUAUUAGUGGAGCCGUCCUUGAAAUACCACCCUUGUAGUGUUGAUGUUCUAACGUCGACCCUUACCGGGGUUGCGGACAGUGCCUGGUGGGUAGUUUGACUGGGGCGGUCUCCUCCCAAAGCGUAACGGAGGAGCACGAAGGUGGGCUAAUCACGGUUGGACAUCGUGAGGUUAGUGCAAUGGCAUAAGCCCGCUUGACUGCGAGAAUGACAAUUCGAGCAGGUGCGAAAGCAGGUCAUAGUGAUCCGGUGGUUCUGAAUGGAAGGGCCAUCGCUCAACGGAUAAAAGGUACUCCGGGGAUAACAGGCUGAUACCGCCCAAGAGUUCAUAUCGACGGCGGUGUUUGGCACCUCGAUGUCGGCUCAUCACAUCCUGGGGCUGAAGUCGGUCCCAAGGGUAUGGCUGUUCGCCAUUUAAAGUGGUACGCGAGCUGGGUUUAGAACGUCGUGAGACAGUUCGGUCCCUAUCUGCCGUGGGCGUUGGAAGAUUGAAGGGGGCUGCUCCUAGUACGAGAGGACCGGAGUGGACGAACCUCUGGUGUUCGGGUUGUGUCGCCAGACGCAUUGCCCGGUAGCUAAGUUCGGAAUCGAUAACCGCUGAAAGCAUCUAAGCGGGAAGCGAGCCCUGAGAUGAGUCUUCCCUGAUACUUUAAGUAUCCUAAAGGGUUGUUCGAGACUAGAACGUUGAUAGGCAGGGUGUGUAAGCGUUGUGAGGCGUUGAGCUAACCUGUACUAAUUGCCCGUGAGGCUUAACCAUACAACACCCAAGGGGUUU